GAGUGUUUAUGGUUGGGUUGAGACACAUUCAGUAGCUGAGUGAUUGACAGCAAGAGGAGCAAGACAUGAGGUUAAUAAUUAUCAAAUAUAUGGCAAUGCUGGACUUUAGCUGAUCAUCGUGCUUCUGGAAAACAACAAAAAUUGAGAUAUCUGUUCACCACUUUGUGUGUCCAAGGACCACCUACUUUUUACAUGUGACAAGAACUACCCACCUCCACUCUUCAGGAUAGAACAUGCUGAAGAAAAGAGUUGCAAUGAGAAAAUAUAUGGGAACAAAAUACCUAUGCAAUGCAGAAGUCUGCAUAACUGAACCACUCAGAGGAAAAAGUUUCCCUCCCAGGCUGGAGUACAAUGGCGCGACCUCGGCUCACUGCAACUUCCACCUCCCAGUUCAAGCAAUUCUCCCACCUCAGCUUCCUUAGUAGCUGGGAUUACAAGUGCCUGACACCAGGCCAAGCUAUUUUUGUAUUUUUAGUAGAGACGGGGUUUCACCAUUUUGACCAGGCUGGUCUCAAACUCCUGACCUCAGUCCAUCGGUCCACCUCGGCCUCCCAAAGUGCUGGGAUUGCAGGCAUGAGCCACCGCUCCUGGCCUCAAGUUUAAUUCUUAAAUUGCCAUUUCAGGACACCUCCUACAUCUGAGGAAAUAUGCAUUGAUCUUGCAGUACUUUUCUCCUCCAAAUAAAAGUCAGUAUGAUAACAACUACACUAUCAGAAGUCUAAGCCAAAGGACACUUCAGUUAUCCAAUCUUGCAACAAAUACAUUUAAGCACUUAAUAUGGGCUACUGUUGGUACUAGGGGCAUUGAGAACUUCAGAUUUGAUUAACACCCAAGAGCUGCUACCAUAAAAUAAACUAGGCAGCUACUAGGC
RNAcentral lists this long non-coding RNA (871 nucleotides) under Homo sapiens (human). RNAcentral's name for it is "non-protein coding LINC01676:29". The record is from RNAcentral. Lineage: Eukaryota; Metazoa; Chordata; Mammalia; Primates; Hominidae.